Long non-coding RNA from Lolium perenne, 3411 nucleotides. RefSeq lists it as uncharacterized. NCBI's taxonomy places the organism in Eukaryota, Viridiplantae, Streptophyta, Magnoliopsida, Poales, Poaceae. The record is from RefSeq and is a predicted model, not a curated record.
CUCAGAAUAUCACACGUGCCUCCCACCGCUUAGCCUAAUCCCCUCUGCCUUAUCCCUUCCAUGCUCCAUCCUAGCACUCAAUUCCAUCUCUCUCUAAAUCAAUCGCCAUUCUCUCAAAAAAAAAAUCAAUCCCCAUGGGAGAUGAGAGAGCAGCUGAAAGGAGGCGUGUUGUGCGAGGCUCCGCGAGGCCGCCGCCGCCGAGCGCGUCGCGGGAGGCUCCGCCAAGACGCCUUUGACGGCCGCCGCCGUUCUGCCGUGCCCCCAUCCUUCUGCCUUGGCUCUCGCCUCCAUCAAAUCGCCACCGUCCUUAUUUCUCAGCCUCUCCCUGCCGAGCUGGCCAUCACCAAGAGCCACCUCGCAGCGACGGCCAUAGAGAUAAUUCGUUCCAAACCAGACAUGGAAACCAAGCACGGCACCGUAUCGCGGGGUAGGAGGAGGAGGCCAAUAACCGGUGUGGUUGAGGAGUUCCGGCGGAUAUCCGGGACGAGGUCCGACUGCUCCUGUUGGAGCUGGCUGCGGCGCGCGUCGCGAAGGACGCGCUAGAGCAGCAGGUGCUCCUCUGGCGCCAGCCGGUGCGCGCGGUGCGCGUGGGAGUGGGCGCUGUCAAAACCAACACCUGCGCGCUGUGGUGGUUCACGGCCGUGGAGCAGAUCGCCGUUUGCGCCAGGAGAGGAUGCGACGGCGACGACAGAGGGCAGCGGCAGAGAGUUUUCCUCACGCUGUCACGUCUUGCGGUCAUCGGUCGUUGAGUUUUGCCCCCGCCGUCAUCUAAGUUUGUUACUAAAAAAUCUUCUCUACUCUAAUUGAGUUCUAUAAGCCUAGCUGGGAUCAAACGUCCUCUACGUUUUGGUACAGUGAUAUGACUGAAAGUAACCAAACCUGAAAAGUUUAGGCACGAUUAGAAGUACAUGUAGAUUACUUUGUGUUCCCUACAAUUUUGUAGCUCCAUAUGUGCUAAUUGUUCACUAGAAGAACGAAUGAUAUGCUUUUGCUGCUUGGAGUUGGUAAUUAAGAAAUUAACGAUUAAUAAAUUAGGAAAUGGGCUCAUGCUUGCAAUGUUCAGAUAAAUCACCAUCCAUAAUGGCGAAAAGUAGAAGAUGAUCCAAUCUGGGAUCUCUUAAUGUUCGAGUAGAAUCUAGGAGGCUUUGCAGAUUUAUACAGCGGAGAUGUCCAGAAAGGCUCAACAAUUACUCACCUGGGAGUGCUAAUCAGUCAACGGUUUUUGCUACAAACUAGCAGGGGUAAUGGUUAUAUAUUUUUGGCUCUAUUAUCUUUUGUAUCUGUGCUCGAGAGUAAAAAAUCCAUAGAAGAACAAAUGAUAUGCUUUUGCUGCUUGGAGUUGGUAAUUAAGAAAUUAAUGGUUACUUAAUUAGGAAAUGAUCUCAUGCUUGCAAUGUUCAGAUGAAUAACCAUUCAUAAUGGCGCAAAUCUACCAUAAAAUGUACAAUCGUCUGGAGCAAGGUCAUUGUGCUGGUUGGUUCAUCUUUGUCUGGAUAGAGAUACAGAAAUAAGUGGUUUUAGUUUUCUGAAGUGUUAUUAGAGGAUCGUAGUACGUAAUGCUGUGGAGUUUUUUUGUUUUGUUUUGGACAUUCUCUUUUCAAUUUAUACCUGUUUAAUGCUGGACUGGGGCUACUUCUUGCCGGUAGAUUAGGUUAGCCGUGUUUGGUGCAGAAGCCAUGUCAAGAUAUGAUCUAAACAUUAUUUCUAGGGAUGGAUGCAGGUAAUUAUUCUUUAAACUAAUCCUAUUUAUAUUAUCAGUCAAAAUCUCCUAUCUUUAUUUUGUCAAAGGAAGCUGGAUAGGAAGCUUCAUCCAUUAUUUAUAGUACGGAGAUUUGUUUUAUGCAUUAAUUUAAGCUUAUUACAUGGUGGGCAGAUAUUAACUACUCCAUAGUUUAUUAGCAUGCAUGGUCCGGUUGGAUUGAUACUAUAUGCAUCAUGUACCUAUUUCAGGUUAUAGGAAACUGACCAUCACUCUUACAAGAAUGCAGUGGUACUAUUUGAUACAUGCAAGAGAAGUGUUUCUGAAUAUUCAACCAGGAAAAAAUUGUUAGUCCUGAAGCAGUUUGUAUGAAUCUAUGGUGGACUGAAGAUGGUUCGUGCAAAAAGGAAAACAAAAAUGAGGUAUCUAUUUCUGCUAAACGCCUAAACCAUAGGUAAUGUUUUUGUUCAAGACUUCUAUGAGCAAUUGUCAGCAGCAUACAAGACCAUGUGCAAGACUUGACUAUGAAUAUGUGGUAGAACCACUCUCCCAGUUUCACACGGUACCAGUAAUCAUCCAUGUAUCUACCUAUGAAAAGGUUGUUCUUUCUUUUCCUCGCCAUCGAGAGGCAUUGCAGGUGAAGAAUCUUGGAGGAACAAAUUUAUGUAUCAAGGGGUCUCCCUAUCGGGUUUUUUAUGUUGAUGUACCAGUUCAUCUAAGGACCGUCACUAGCGACCAAUCAGCGAGUGAUCAUUACCCUGAAGAACCUGCCUCUAGAUAUGUGAACAACUAAAUGCUGUCGACUUACUGUGCCUUAUAAUAUGUUGAUCAAGAGACAAGGUGUAUGGUUGAUCCAUCUGGGUACACAUGAUUUAUCCGUUCUUGGAAACUAAUAAGAAUGUUACAUGCUAUUGCAAUUAAGGUUACUGAUACCAAAGUGGGUGGGGCUUCUGGUUUGCCGGCAAAAGUACCAUCUCUUUUUUUAUUAAAUAUACUUUCAUCUUAGAGAAGGCACAAUAUCUUCAUGGAGUAAGAAAGAGGUAUAGGUAUGCCAGUGCGCCUUCCAUGUCUUCGGCAGGUGUGGUUCACCCAUUUGAGUGCUGUAUUCCACCAACAUUGCUUGACAAUGAUGCUAUUUGAAAAUAUUUCUUGGGGGCAGUUCUACAACCUGAUCAGACCCAUACAUUGCUCAUACGCACAUGUCUGAGUUCGAAUUAAACUGCUAAAUGACAGAUCAUUCUUGCUCUAUAUUGACAAGGACUAUCCUUUUAUGUCAUUGCAUAAGAUGUUGUCUAUUUCAAUGGAAAAUUGGAUCAGUAAGGGAGAGAUGGAGCUUAUUCAAUGGACACCUAAAUAUGGAUUAGUGGGGUAUGUGGUUAUUUAACUGGUUCCGCUUCAGAUAACAGGCUUGCCCUGUAACCUAAGUUCAGUGCUGGUAAUUGAGUAUAUACUUGGUCCUUUCGGAUUAGUAGAAUCACAUGACUCGAUCACCAAUGACGGUACAUAUGAUUGUGGUAGAUCAAUCACUAAAUACAAUUGCACCAUGUGGUGUGCUGACGGAGAUGUCAUACCAGCUACAUUGCAAGCCAACAUGUUGUUGUAAUGCUGUUGUGUCUGACGGAUUUGAUGCAAAUUUCUAUGGAUAACAAUUACAAAUGCUGAAUCCUUUGUAUCAACAUGAGCUAAUACAACUUCAGUUGCUGAGCACUUUA